GACGAACGCUGGCGGCGUGCCUAAUACAUGCAAGUCGAACGCUUUUUCUUUCACCGGAGCUUGCUCCACCGAAAGAAAAAGAGUGGCGAACGGGUGAGUAACACGUGGGUAACCUGCCCAUCAGAAGGGGAUAACACUUGGAAACAGGUGCUAAUACCGUAUAACACUAUUUUCCGCAUGGAAGAAAGUUGAAAGGCGCUUUUGCGUCACUGAUGGAUGGACCCGCGGUGCAUUAGCUAGUUGGUGAGGUAACGGCUCACCAAGGCAACGAUGCAUAGCCGACCUGAGAGGGUGGUCGGCCACACUGGGACUGAGACACGGCCCAGACUCCUACGGGAGGCAGCAGUAGGAAAUCUUCGGCAAUGGACGAAAGUCUGACCGAGCAACGCCGCGUGAGUGAAGAAGGUUUUCGGAUCGUAAAACUCUGUUGUUAGAGAAGAACAAGGAUGAGAGUAAAACGUUCAUCCCUUGA
Molecule: ribosomal RNA, 472 nt
Filed under: Enterococcus casseliflavus
Lineage: Bacteria; Bacillati; Bacillota; Bacilli; Lactobacillales; Enterococcaceae
Description: bacterial SSU rRNA
Rfam family: Bacterial small subunit ribosomal RNA
Source: RNAcentral